RNAcentral lists this ribosomal RNA (989 nucleotides) under Pseudomonas sp. BMO1_1D9. RNAcentral describes it as "bacterial SSU rRNA". It matches the Rfam family "Bacterial small subunit ribosomal RNA", at positions 55 to 1200 of the family's 1533-position model. Lineage: Bacteria; Pseudomonadati; Pseudomonadota; Gammaproteobacteria; Pseudomonadales; Pseudomonadaceae. The record is from RNAcentral.
GUGCAGUCGAGCGGAUGACGGGAGCUUGCUCCUUGAUUCGCGGCGGACGGGUGAGUAAUGCCUAGGAAUCUGCCUGGUAGUGGGGGACAACGUUUCGAAAGAACGCUAAUACCGCAUACGUCCUACGGGAGAAAGCAGGGGACCUUCGGGCCUUGCGCUAUCAGAUGAGCCUAGGUCGGAUUAGCUAGUUGGUGGGGUAAUGGCUCACCAAGGCGACGAUCCGUAACUGGUCUGAGAGGAUGAUCAGUCACACUGGAACUGAGACACGGUCCAGACUCCUACGGGAGGCAGCAGUGGGGAAUAUUGGACAAUGGGCGAAAGCCUGAUCCAGCCAUGCCGCGUGUGUGAAGAAGGUCUUCGGAUUGUAAAGCACUUUAAGUUGGGAGGAAGGGCAGUAAGCUAAUACCUUGCUGUUUUGACGUUACCGACAGAAUAAGCACCGGCUAACUCUGUGCCAGCAGCCGCGGUAAUACAGAGGGUGCAAGCGUUAAUCGGAAUUACUGGGCGUAAAGCGCGCGUAGGUGGUUCGUUAAGUUGGAUGUGAAAGCCCCGGGCUCAACCUGGGAACUGCAUCCAAAACUGGCGAGCUAGAGUACGGUAGAGGGUGGUGGAAUUUCCUGUGUAGCGGUGAAAUGCGUAGAUAUAGGAAGGAACACCAGUGGCGAAGCGACCACCUGGACUGAUACUGACACUGAGUGCGAAAGCGUGGGAGCAAACAGGAUUAGAUACCCUGGUAGUCCACGCCGUAAACGAUGUCAACUAGCGUUGGAAUCCUUGAGAUUUUAGUGGCGCAGCUAACGCAUUAAGUUGACCGCCUGGGGGUACGGCCGCAGGUUAAAACUCAAAUGAAUUGAGGGGCCCGCACAAGCGGUGGAGCAUGUGGUUAAUUCGAAGCACGCGAAAUACCGUGACUGCAAAACUUUCAAGAUUGGUGGUCUGACCUGCAGGCGCAGCUGGGAUGGCCAAAUUGGUAGUAGGGGCACAAUCCG